AUGGCUCAGGAUGAACGCUGGCGGCGUGCCUAACACAUGCAAGUCAAACGAAGCUUGACGGAUGAUUUCUUCGGAGUGAAACCUGAUAUGACUUAGUGGCGGACGGGUGAGUAACACGUGAGCAACCUGCCUUUCAGAGGGGGAUAACGGCUGGAAACGGUCGCUAAUACCGCAUGACGUGUUCGGAUGGCAUCAUCUGAACAUCAAAGAUUUAUCGCUGAAAGAUGGGCUCGCGUCUGAUUAGAUAGUUGGUGGGGUAACGGCCUACCUAGUCUACGAUCAGUAGCCGGACUGAGAGGUUGAACGGCCACAUUGGGACUGAGAUACGGCCCAGACUCCUACGGGAGGCAGCAGUGGGGAAUAUUGCACAAUGGGGGAAACCCUGAUGCAGCAACGCCGCGUGAAGGAUGACGGUUUUCGGAUUGUAAACUUCUUUUUUUAGUGACGAAGACAGUGACGGUAGCUAAGGAAUAAGCAUCGGCUAACUACGUGCCAGCAGCCGCGGUAAUACGUAGGAUGCAAGCGUUAUCCGGAUUUACUGGGUGUAAAGGGAGCGCAGGCGGGACUGCAAGUUGGAUGUGAAAUACCGUGGCUUAACCACGGAACUGCAUCCAAAACUGUAGUUCUUGAGUGAAGUAGAGGCAAGCGGAAUUCCGAGUGUAGCGGUGAAAUGCGUAGAUAUUUGGGGGAACACCAGUGGCGAAGGCGGCUUGCUGGGCUUUAACUGACGCUGAGGCUCGAAAGUGUGGGGAGCAAACAGGAUUAGAUACCCUGGUAGUCCACACUGUAAACGAUGAUAGCUAGGUGUGGGGGGUCUGACCCCUUCCGUGCCGGAGUUAACGCAAUAAGCUAUCCACCUGGGGAGUACGACCGCAAGGUAGCA
Molecule: ribosomal RNA, 883 nt
Filed under: uncultured bacterium
Lineage: Bacteria
Description: bacterial SSU rRNA
Rfam family: Bacterial small subunit ribosomal RNA
Source: RNAcentral